GGGGAUAUAGCUCAGUUGGUAGAGUGCUUGCUUCACAUGUACAGGGAGCUGGGUUCUAUCCCCAGCACCACCA
This 73-nucleotide transfer RNA is filed under the name Urocitellus parryii (Arctic ground squirrel). RNAcentral's name for it is "Spermophilus parryii (Arctic ground squirrel) tRNA". It matches the Rfam family "tRNA". Rfam says of the family: Transfer RNA (tRNA) molecules are approximately 80 nucleotides in length. Their secondary structure includes four short double-helical elements and three loops (D, anti-codon, and T loops). RNAcentral also lists the same sequence under 1 other name. Lineage: Eukaryota; Metazoa; Chordata; Mammalia; Rodentia; Sciuridae. The record is from Rfam by way of RNAcentral.